AUUUGAAUCAUUUAAAAUAAAAGCGUUUAAAUUGUUGCAAUACAAUGGGGCUUUACUCAAACUUGUAGAUGUAUAUAACACGCUCAAAGCUGAGUACGAUGAAAUUGCUCAUGCUGAAGAACAGUAUUUUCUAACAUUAUAUGGAUUGAAACGCAAGUCUAUUUUGCUUAAUAAAUUUUGGUAAUAUGACUAUAUUUGCUGAGUAGCAUGAAAACCAGUUCACAAAAACCAUUGAUUUAGCUGUAUUACCUCCUUCGUUUUUCCUGUAUUACCUUUAACUGUAUUACCUCUAACAAAAUCUGGCGCAAAGCAAUCUUUAUUUCAUGUCUAACGUUAAUUACAACAAUGACGCGGUACUAUUUUGGAUUCACUGAAAAGGUAUUGCAAAGUGUUAGAUUUAAAUCUUCUACCAUUUAAACAUUCUAACGCCAGCUCUAGAAAAUUUGUUUCAUCAUUUGAUCUGUAACUACAAAACUAGAUGCAACAGGAAUCGCUAGUUUAUAAAAGGCGGUUUAAAUCGCUCAUCAAUUUGUCGAGCAUGCAAUGUAGUGGGUUGCUCAAGCCCUGCAGACGUGAAUGAUGCUGACACAUCUGAUAAAGAUAAAGAUGAUAAUAAUGACGCAAAUGUAGAUUCAGAUAUGUAGAUUGUGUAAUUCAAAUGUAGAUGUCUGUAAUUCAGAUAAAGAACCAAUAUGACCAAUAAAGAAUUAAAUAUAGUAAAGGUUGAGAUAAUAUAAUUACGAUAAUUUUGUAGCAUUUUGACAUACAUGCAGUUAAACAUUAUUCUUUAUGUGAUGUGAUAUAUUUUAAAGUUUAAGGUUUCUUUAUUAAAUAUUUGUUUAUACAA
This is a non-coding RNA of Hydra vulgaris (swiftwater hydra), 847 nucleotides long. NCBI's taxonomy places the organism in Eukaryota, Metazoa, Cnidaria, Hydrozoa, Anthoathecata, Hydridae. The record is from RefSeq and is a predicted model, not a curated record.